Molecule: long non-coding RNA, 493 nt
Filed under: Linum usitatissimum (flax)
Lineage: Eukaryota; Viridiplantae; Streptophyta; Magnoliopsida; Malpighiales; Linaceae
Description: long non-coding RNA (LUSI_LNC007435)
Source: RNAcentral
AAAAACCUUAUUCGCCAUCUAUCUAGAAAUUGGCGCACAUCGAAUCAGCUUUCUUUUCUCCUUUUCCGUAUAGAACUCCAUCUCUCUCUCUCUUUUCUCCCCCUUUAUUAAAUUUGCUUCUCUCCAUCUCCAGCUUUCGCUGCCAUUCUAUCUUUCUGCUUCAACAAGAUGAGUCGUUCGUCGUCGAGGAAGACGAGUCAAUCCGAUUCCACAGCUCCCGUCGCUUCUUCCGCCACCGGCCUUUUCCGUUCUGGUAAUCAAAGCUUUUAUCUUGCUUCUCCUCAUUUCCGAGUUUUUCCCUCUCUGCAUCCGUGUAAUUGAACUUCUAUCGUACAGUCUUCAGCUUUGGGAUUUUGUGAUUCGAUGCAAUUGUUUGGAAAAAAAUAGCUCUUGAUUUUGUGUGGCCAAAUGAAUGGUUUAGAACUUGUUGUUGUAAAAGGCAGAGACUUUCUUUGCCUAGUUGGAUAUGCUGGUAGCUGUAGCUUGCAACUCU